RNAcentral lists this ribosomal RNA (199 nucleotides) under uncultured bacterium. RNAcentral describes it as "partial 16S ribosomal RNA". It matches the Rfam family "Bacterial small subunit ribosomal RNA", at positions 328 to 539 of the family's 1533-position model. The record is from RNAcentral.
ACGCUCGACACCUACUGGAGGCAGCAGUGGGGAAUAUUGCACAAUGGGGGAAACCCUGAUGCAGCGACGCCGCGUGAGCGAAGAAGUAUUUCGGUAUGUAAAGCUCUAUCAGCAGGGAAGAAGAAAGACGGUACCUGACUAAGAAGCCCCGGCUAACUACGUGCCNGCAGCCGCGGUAAUCUGAGCGGGCUGGCAAGGC